RNAcentral lists this ribosomal RNA (508 nucleotides) under Diplommatina electa D MS-2011. Its description in RNAcentral is "partial 16S ribosomal RNA". It matches the Rfam family "Bacterial large subunit ribosomal RNA", at positions 1817 to 2597 of the family's 2925-position model. Lineage: Eukaryota; Metazoa; Mollusca; Gastropoda; Architaenioglossa; Diplommatinidae. The record is from RNAcentral.
GGCUCUUUGGUAGGUAAAGAUAGAGAGUUUGACCUGCCCGGUGAUAGAAUUAAACGGCCGCAGUACCCUGACUGUGCGAAGGUAGCAUAAUAAUUUGUCUUAUAAUUAAAGAAUGGAAUGAAUGGUUUGACUAGGAUAUAACUGUCUCUUGUAUAUUUUUUAAAAGUUAAUUUUUAAGUUAAAAAGCUUAAAUUAGAUUAAAAGACGAGAAGACCCUAUUGAGCUUAAUAAGGGACUUACUAGUUGUAACUAUAGUAUAAAUAGAAGUUGGUAUCGAAAUUUUGGUUGGGGCGACUAAGGAAUAAAAAAAGCUUCCUUAAUAAACUAAGAAAGAUAUUUUUAGAGCCAGAGAAUUUUGAAUUGAGAACAAGUUACCAUAGGGAUAACAGCGUUAUUUUUUUUGAGAGUUCUAAUCGAAAAAAAAGUUUGCGACCUCGAUGUUGGAUUAGGAGUAAGAUAAAGGUUGCAGAAGCUUUAUACAUUUAGUCUGUUCGACUAUUAAUUUCCU